CCUCUGAUUGAUCACCUGAGGCGAGCAGCGAGUCAGCCACGGGAGCACAGGUGGAGGCAAUUAACUGUGCUGCCAGAAGGGGUGCAGCCUGGCUCCACCUCUCCUAGAGCCAUUUAAGGGCUGACCAGCAGUGGGGAAGGAUCUCUUUUGGAGCUCCUCUCCACCAGGGUUUCCUAAGCGGGCCUACGAUGUGGAGAACUGCACCUCAUCCUUCUCCUGCAACUGAGUUUACCAAAUCUGAGUGAAGAAAUACGAAUGCGAGAGAAAAAGAAAUGCUGAUCUCUCCUUGGAGUCUUCGGAGUUUUUGAGCCUGUCCCUCCUCAAGAUGUUGUCUGGCAUCUCCUUUAUCUUGACAAGUGGAGCUUCAGGAUUUGGAAUGUUUCCCUUGAAUGAUCCAAGCAGUAGUACUUACAGAGAUAUUGAAGGUCCAUCGGCAUGUCACCAGUAACACAAUAGAAACCUUCUAGUUGUGAGGAAAAUUGGGUUUAACGAGGUGCUGUUUUAGCUGGUGAGGAAAGGAAUAUAACCAUCAUCUUGGAGCAAAGUACCAUUUGGAGCAUUGAGAUGUCUGAAAAAUGGCAGUAGACCGUGCUGGAUUAUAAAUGGCUAGUGGUAAUUCUGCUUCCCAUUCAGGUACUCUGUAGUCUUACUCGGUAGAA
Lagopus muta (rock ptarmigan) is the source of this 659-nucleotide long non-coding RNA. RefSeq lists it as uncharacterized. The record is from RefSeq and is a predicted model, not a curated record. The transcript is spliced from 5 exons. Lineage: Eukaryota; Metazoa; Chordata; Aves; Galliformes; Phasianidae.